This 3159-nucleotide long non-coding RNA is filed under the name Sus scrofa (pig). RNAcentral describes it as "lncRNA (ENSSSCG00000062352.1)". Lineage: Eukaryota; Metazoa; Chordata; Mammalia; Artiodactyla; Suidae. The record is from RNAcentral.
UUUAGUCAAGGUGCCUAUGGUCUGUGAAUUGAAAUAUAUUUGGAAACUGGUUGGUACAUUGUGAUGCUCUACUGUGUUGCCUUGAGUCAGGGGAUAACAUUAGCUCUGAUCUGACACACAGUGAAUCAGUUGGUUCAGGGACCCACCGGUGGUUAUUUCCUCCAUUCUCUAAUUUAAAAUUAAACUAGACAUGCUUAGUGACUGGAAGAAUCCCCCACAGUGGCUCCCUGACAUGCAGGCCAUUAUGGUAUGAAGUGUUAAGUGCAAGCCCCUAGAAUUUCCUCUCCCUGUCAAGAUAGUAAAUAAGAAGAUAGCGAAUCACUAUGGAAAUUGUAGAGAUGAGUGGCCCCAUAAAAGACCUGAAAGAAACAAGGGUGAUAAUACCCAUCACAUCUCUAUUUAAUUUCUCUAAUUUUGCCUGUGAAUAGGUCAGAUGUAUAUUGGAAAAUGACUGUGGGCCAUUGUAAACUUAAUCAGGUUGUGACACCAGUUGCUGUUCCAGAUGUAGUAUCUCUACAGGAGCAAAUCCAUUCAGAACAUGGUACUUGGUAAGUUGCUUUUGAUCUUGAUGACGUUUUCUCUAUACAUAUUUUAAAGACAGCUGAAAGCAGUUGCUUUUACCGGACAGGGCCAGUAAUGUAUUUUCAGUCUUGCUUUGGGGCUUUCACAAAUAGGUCAUUAAUAUGGCCCUGUCAUAAAUAGACCACAAAUCUUUCUUGUCAUGACAUUUCAUAGAACAUCACGUGUACUAACUAUGUUGAUGAAAUUGUGCACAUUGGAUAUGUUGAACAGAAAGUAGCAAUUACUUGAGAUGUCUUACUAAGAAUGAGAGGGUAAGUUCUAAUUCUGUAUCAAUCAAGGUCCAAUUAAAAGACAAAUAUCACACAGUAAUUUGAAUAGGAAGUUUAAUAUCAGGAAUUAGUAACUACGACAAGGAACUGGAGCAAUAAGAGAUAUUGGGUAGAAAUUAAGAUAAUUCUAAAGAAUAUAGGAUUAGCAGAUGUAGGGAACAGUUCCUAUCCCUAGGGCUAAGAUAGGGUAUUGUGAGAAAGCAAAUUUUCUCUGGAUUUUUUUUAGUGAUCCUAUAAAAACCUUAGUUUCCUGAGCCAUGGAAAUGCAUACACUAUCAGAGUAGAAGGUUUGGUCUCUUUUCCCCUAGGAACAUUUUACUUCUUACAGUAAGGAUUAAAUCUGAGACCAUUUGUCUCUCUAAUGGUAUAUAGCUAAUUGCUUCCAUACAAUAAGCUUCCUUUAUCUUCCCAAGAACCAAAUGGUUGCAUUUUUGGUAGGGAACCUAAGUUAGAGUAUUAUGUCUCUGCUUGUUACACUUCAAAAGGGGUGGACUGGUGCCAUGAAGAAAUUUCUAGGUUGUCAAAGCCACAGACACUUUAUUUAAUAACAAAGGAUUAGAGUAAGGAUUCUUUGCAUCCUGUUUCCAAGGAGACUCUCUCAGAAGGAGAGGAAGAAAAAUAAUCUCUCCUGUAUAAAUGGAAGACAUUUAUAGUUCUCCAUCUCUUGCAUACAGAGUGAUCCUGCCAUUCGUGUAGGAUAUAUUUUCCAUUUGGCUCUUAUCACUUUACUCUGCAGGAUUGCAAAUGUGGAGAGACUAAUGAUUCCAUGUUAUUCUGACUAUUGAUUAUGUGGUGAGCAUAAUAAGAAAUCUGCUCUGGUUCAGACACCUCAUGUAUACAUUCAAGAAAAUUUAAUAAAGAUGAAUUUAAAAACCCUACAAGUGCCCAAGAAAUAAACAAUCUUUCCUGUAUAAGGGCUAAGAUCCAGGCUUUAUUAGAGAGGUUACAGCACUGACCCACUGUAUGAGAGAGACAUUGCAAUGUACCACGCCAGGAGAACUUGGUGGAUAUCCACACUUUGGGAUUUGCCAGAAAUUUUGCCUGCUACUGUACUGGGGAAAGCUAUUCUAAGGAUGGUGUCUUACUGGAGGCACUACUAUGCAAAGUGGAUGCUAAGGAAAACUACUUAUUUCUGGGUGCUGUUGAUUGCCAUGUUCUGCAGAGGUGGAUCUUGUAGAAGCUGCCCAUGCUGGAGAAACUUAGUGCUGGCAAAGCCAAGUUGUGUUGAAGAAAACUGCCAACUAGAGCACAAUGGAACUGGGAAGGGAAGUCCCUUCUUUCUGUGGUGUGUCUACAGUGCCCUGUACUGACAAAGCUUAAUGUUGUGCCAGUUGUCAAGGGCCCAGCUCAGUUUCUUCAGAGCAAGCAAUGAAGGGAAAUUUGAGAUUGAAGAACAAUAAACUGAUAAAUGUCACACAAAGAAAGUCAUAAAAUCAAUUAUAUAUUGCUCCUUCCACUCAGGAGGGAGUAACUACUACUUUAUUAGCCCCUUCAUCAUAAGAAAAGGCAGGAGAAAGUAUGAGUCAACAGACAGAUUGUACAACAGGCAGUGAAAGACUAUGAUUCUUUUUUUGUUGUUUUGGUUUGUUUUUGGGGGGCCAUGCCUGCUGCAUUCAGAAAUUUCUGGGCCAGGGAUUGAACAUGCACCACAGCAGGGAUCCAAGCCACUGCAGUGACAACAAUGCUGGAUACUUAACUUGCUGUGCCACAGGGAACUCCCAAGAUGGUGAUUCUUGAGAGAGGAAAAACACAAAGGUUAAGCUGCAUGAUCGCCCUUGCCUUUUGCUUAAACGCUCUUUGCAAAACAUGGCAUAGGGAAGUGUUUUGCAAAGUAGAAGACAGAGUAUUACUGAGCUAAGGAGAUGAAUUGAAAUUUUAAGAUGGCAGUGUGGCUGGAAAUUGUGGGUCAGAGUAUCAGAGAAGAGGAAGUUGCACAAAAUAAGAACUCCAGAACUAUGCAUAAGUGUCUCAGUCGUUAGCAGAAUACUAAGCGAUGUGUAUGUUGAGCCAAAUAUUAUAAGGUUAGUAUAGAAAGUUGUGGGGAAAUGUGAACUAAACAGAGGUUCCGAGUGUUUACACUUGACUGUGAAACACUGGGAUCUGACCAGCUAGAGCAGAGAAGCCUAACUGAACACUCUGGACCCUCAACUGAGACCUUAGUAAGACUGUUUCUUAGGAUAGAGCCACUCUAACCCUAAAAGCUAAUGAGUCACACCCUAUGAAACAGAGAGUACAAUCAGAUCAAGCUCAAUAGGAUCCACAAGUGACCUAGUCCCAUGACAGAAUAAAGUUCAAUACUCUUUAAAGG